Molecule: ribosomal RNA, 493 nt
Filed under: uncultured bacterium
Lineage: Bacteria
Description: partial 16S ribosomal RNA
Rfam family: Bacterial small subunit ribosomal RNA
Source: RNAcentral
ACGAACGCUGGCGGCGCGCUUGACACAUGCAAGUCGAACGGAAAGGCCUGCUUUCCCUUGUGGAUUGCGGGUACUCGAGUGGCGAACGGGUGAGUAACACGUGAGUGAUCUGCCCCCAACUUGGGUAUAAGCCUGGGAAACUGGGUCUAAUUCCCGAUAGGACUGCAGGGUGGUGCCUGUGGUGGAAAACGAUUUUCUAGUGGUUGGGGAUGAGCUCGCGGCCUAUCAGCUUGUUGGUGGGGUAAUGGCCUACCAAGGCGGCGACGGGUAGCCGGCCUGAGAGGGUGGACGGCCACAUUGGGACUGAGAUACGGCCCAGACUCCUACGGGAGGCAGCAGUGGGGAAUAUUGCACAAUGGGCGGAAGCCUGAUGCAGCGACGCCGCGUGGGGGAUGACGGCCUUCGGGUGGUAAACUCCUUUCGACCGCGAGGAAGCCACCUGGUUGGAAGGGUGAUGACGGUAGUGGUAGAAGAAGCACCGGCUAACUACGUG